Molecule: ribosomal RNA, 565 nt
Filed under: uncultured Clostridium sp.
Lineage: Bacteria; Bacillati; Bacillota; Clostridia; Eubacteriales; Clostridiaceae
Description: bacterial SSU rRNA
Rfam family: Bacterial small subunit ribosomal RNA
Source: RNAcentral
GCGGCUCUGCAGUCAGGUGUGAAAACUAUGGGCUUAACCCAUAACGUGCACUUGAAACUGUGGAGCUUGAGUGAAGUAGAGGCAGGCGGAAUUCCCGGUGUAGCGGUGAAAUGCGUAGAGAUCGGGAGGAACACCAGUGGCGAAGGCGGCCUGCUGGGCUUUAACUGACGCUGAGGCACGAAAGCAUGGGUAGCAAACAGGAUUAGAUACCCUGGUAGUCCAUGCCGUAAACGAUGAUUACUAGGUGUGGGUGGUCUGACCCCAUCCGUGCCGGAGUUAACACAAUAAGUAAUCCACCUGGGAAGUACGACCGCAAGGUUGAAACUCAAAGGAAUUGACGGGGGCCCGCACAAGCAGUGGAGUAUGUGGUUUAAUUCGAAGCAACGCGAAGAACCUUACCAGGUCUUGACAUCCAACUAACGAAGCAGAGAUGCAUUAGGUGCCCUUCGGGGAAAGUUGAGACAGGUGGUGCAUGGUUGUCGUCAGCUCGUGUCGUGAGAUGUUGGGUUAAGUCCCGCAACGAGCGCAACCCUUGUGAUUAGUUGCUACGCAAGAGCCACUCUAA